Molecule: microRNA precursor, 69 nt
Filed under: Notamacropus eugenii (tammar wallaby)
Lineage: Eukaryota; Metazoa; Chordata; Mammalia; Diprotodontia; Macropodidae
Description: miRNA (ENSMEUG00000017634.1)
Source: RNAcentral
UGUAUGUAUGUGUGUAUGUGUAUAUAUGUGUGUGUAUGUGUAAAUGCAUAUAUGUAUAUAUUUACAUAU